Leopardus geoffroyi (Geoffroy's cat) is the source of this 1367-nucleotide long non-coding RNA. RefSeq lists it as uncharacterized. The transcript has 3 exons. Lineage: Eukaryota; Metazoa; Chordata; Mammalia; Carnivora; Felidae. The record is from RefSeq and is a predicted model, not a curated record.
UCAGGGCCUGAGGGUGGGAGGCGGGCAUCAGCCAGCAGCCCUGCCUCCACGGACGCCUCCCAGCUACCCUGGGGCCACACCCGGUGCUCAUAAGCACAGGCUCAGGGCCGGCUCCCCGGUGUUGCAAGCCCAGGCCCAAGUGUCCUGGCUGUGUGACCCCUGCCAAGUGAAUGCCUCAGUUCCCCCAUCGACGGGAUCACAACAGUCUAUGUCUCUUUAUGGGCCUCCUAGGGGUGCUACGUGGUUACGGAGCGCACAGGCCCGCCAUCCAGGGCAGCACCAUCCGUGCGCCCCGCGCUAUGCGAUGUGCUCCAAGGACCUGUGUUCCGGUUUUCCAGACUGACCUGGUGACAGGGCCCUUGCGGAACAAAGCCAGGCCAUCCUCCUUUCCGGCUCCCGCCCUCUCGAAUCCCCAGGGCAAUUCACCAUCGUGCGCAUUUCACAGAGGCCAAAAGCGAGGCCCAGAAGGGUGAAAUGAAUCACCCAAAGGCACCAGCAAAGCUGGGAUUUGAACCCAAAGCCAAACCCCCUCCUGAAAACUGUCUUAAAUAACAAUUUUGAACGAGUUGUUAAAACCGAGGGCACCAGGAAAAAUAAUGCGGCCACUGGCUCCCGCCCUGGGCAAAACCACUGCCGUCCGAGUGACCAGAACUGGAAGUCCGGGCUCUAGAACUAUUCUGGCUAUAGACCUGCUUGUCUUUAACAUCUUGGGACGGAUCUGGCCCCUGCUGCCUGGAGGAAGCGAAGCAGCACUGCCAUGUCGGUGCAGGUGACGCACAGCAGACCUGCAAGGAAGGCCUGAGCAGUGAGGAUCCUCCGGAAACCCCGAGCCCCGCUCUGUGCCCAGGUCAGUGUGGCCUCACCUCCUUCGCUCACAGCCUGCACGGCUGCAUCCAAGAAGGGGGCGGGGCUGCCAUACGGGUCCAGGUCGAUGACGUCAAACCGCUCUGAUGCCCUCUGGUGCUGGUACAUCAGCAUCCUGGGAGCGAGAAGGCCCCGGUCCUCAGCCACCUGCAUUAGGGACCUGCUCUGUCCCCUACACGUGUCUUCUCAUUGGGUGUGAUGGUUUCAGCCUGCAUUUGGAGGCCAGCUGGCUAGGUUCGGACCCUGGCCUGGCCAUGUGCUAACCAACCACGUGACUUUUCUUCCUUGGGCCUCAGUGUACUCGUGUCUAACAACAGCAAUAAUAAUAGCCAAUGGUGACGUGACAUACAUAUGCCUGACAACUGUUUCAAGCCAUUUAUAGAUUAAUUCAUUUAAUCAAAUAACCUUCCAGGCAAAUCUUACGGAUUUGGAAUCAUUAUCGUUUCCUUUGUAGGAUGACAUGAUACUCUAUAUGGAACACGCAAAAGAUUCCACAAAAAAAC